CACAUGUGACGUAGUUUGAUCAUGGCUCAGAGCGAACGCUAGCGGCGGGCUUAACACAUGCAAGUCGUGCGGAACCUUCGGGUUCAGCGGCGGACGGGUGAGUAACACGUAGGUCACGUACCUUCUGGAGGGGGAUAACCCGGGGAAACCUGGGCUAAUACCGCGUAUGUCCUUCGGGAUGAGAGCCUUCGGGCGCCAGAAGAUCGGCCUGCGGCCCAUUAUUUAAUCCUAGUUGGUGAGGUAACGGCUCACCAAGGGUACGAUGGGUAGCUGAUCUGAGAGGAUGAUCAGCCACACUGGGACUGAGACACGGCCCAGACUCCUACGGGAGGCAGCAGUGGGGAAUAUUGGACAAUGGGCGAAAGCCUGAUCCAGCUACGCCGCGUGGGUGAUGAAGGCCUUCGGGUUGUAAAGCCCUGUCGGGAGGGAAGAAUUUUGACGGUACCUCCCAAGAAAGCACCGGCUAACUCCGUG
Molecule: ribosomal RNA, 474 nt
Filed under: uncultured bacterium
Lineage: Bacteria
Description: bacterial SSU rRNA
Rfam family: Bacterial small subunit ribosomal RNA
Source: RNAcentral